UAUAUACUCCCUCUGUCCGAAAAUACUUGUCCUAGAAAUAGAUGUAUCUAGACUUAUNUUAGUUAUAGAUACAUUCAUUUUGUACAUUUCUAGGACAAGUAUUUCCGGACGGAGGGAGUAUAUU
Molecule: non-coding RNA, 124 nt
Organism: Hordeum vulgare subsp. vulgare (domesticated barley)
Lineage: Eukaryota; Viridiplantae; Streptophyta; Magnoliopsida; Poales; Poaceae
Source: Rfam